GAUGAAGAACGCAGCUAAAUGCGAUAAGUAAUGUGAAUUGCAGAAUUCAGUGAAUCAUCGAAUCUUUGAACGCACAUUGCGCCCGCCAGUAUUCUGGCGGGCAUGCCUGUUCGAGCGUCAUUUCAACCAUCAAGCCCCCGGCUUGUGUUGGGGACCUGCGGCUGCCGCAGGCCCUGAAAACCAGUGGCGGGCUCGCUAGUCACUCCGAGCGUAGUAAUACAUCUCGCUCAGGGCGUGCUGCGGGUUCCGGCCGUUAAAAAGCCUUAUUUACCCAAGGUUGACCUCGGAUCAGGUAGGAAGACCCGCUGAACUUAAGCAUAUCAAUAAGCGGAGGA
RNAcentral lists this unclassified non-coding RNA (335 nucleotides) under soil metagenome. RNAcentral describes it as "partial contains 5.8S ribosomal RNA, internal transcribed spacer 2, and large subunit ribosomal RNA". The stretch from base 1 to 120 matches the Rfam family "5.8S ribosomal RNA", at positions 35 to 154 of the family's 154-position model. The record is from RNAcentral.